This 393-nucleotide RNase P RNA is filed under the name Prevotella sp. RNAcentral's name for it is "RNase P RNA component class A". It matches the Rfam family "Bacterial RNase P class A". Rfam says of the family: Ribonuclease P (RNase P) is a ubiquitous endoribonuclease, found in archaea, bacteria and eukarya as well as chloroplasts and mitochondria. The record is from RNAcentral. RNAcentral also lists the same sequence under 3 other names. Lineage: Bacteria; Pseudomonadati; Bacteroidota; Bacteroidia; Bacteroidales; Prevotellaceae.
GUAGCGGUCCGGUCUGUCGCCGGCACUUUUGUGGUGCGGGAGGAAAGUCCGGGCAGUGCAGGGCACUCCGCUUCUGAAAAUGGAAGCUGUCGGUGACGGCAGGAUAUGGCAGAAGAGAAUGACCGCCGUGCGAAAGGCAUUUGGUCCGGACCACGGUAAGGGUGAGAAGGUGUGUGUAAGAGACCACCGGCCGUCGGGUGAUCGGCGGGCCGUGCCAUCCGGAGGCUGCAAGUUCGCGUAAACCGUCGUCUGAGGGUUGCCCGCCCGAAAGCAUGCUUACGUCGGAGGGUAGAAUGCUUGAGCCGUGUGGUGACAUACGGAGUAGAUAAAUGACAGACACCGCUGCCGUUAACGGUAGCGGGACAGAACCCGGCUUAUAGGGCCACUGCUUUC